This 219-nucleotide long non-coding RNA is filed under the name Capsicum annuum. Its description in RNAcentral is "long non-coding RNA (CANN_LNC010497)". The record is from RNAcentral. Lineage: Eukaryota; Viridiplantae; Streptophyta; Magnoliopsida; Solanales; Solanaceae.
GCAAAAUGAACUAGAUAUCCUCAUACUAGGGACUAGGAGAGUACAUGAAAUUCUAUGAUAUGUAUGAACAAAACUAUGAUCAUGGAGCUGACACAUAAGGCAUGAGUAGAUAUCGUGAUGGAUGGGGUACUAAUACAGAAAUAAGAAUGAGUCGAGCAUCAUCCUCCUACACAGGCAGCAAUACUAGAAUCUGAGAAUCUGACUUGGUUAUCAUCUCCC